GGAGUCUGGGCCGUGUCUCAGUCCCAAUGUGGCCGGUCACCCUCUCAGGUCGGCUAUGGAUCGUCGGCUUGGUGGGCCGUUACCUCACCAACUACCUAAUCCAACGCGGGCCCAUCCUUAACCACCGGAAUUUUUCACACUCGACCAUGCGGUCCCGUGCGCUUAUGCGGUAUUAGCAGCCGUUUCCAACUGUUGUCCCCCGGUUAAGGGCAGGUUGCCCACGCGUUACUCACCCGUCCGCCACUAAGUCACAGGAUGCUUCACCCGAAAGUUCGGCUUCCUGUGCUUCGUUCGACUUGCAUGUGUUAAGCACGCCGCCAGCGUUCAUC
This 329-nucleotide ribosomal RNA is filed under the name uncultured Prevotella sp. Its description in RNAcentral is "partial 16S ribosomal RNA". Lineage: Bacteria; Pseudomonadati; Bacteroidota; Bacteroidia; Bacteroidales; Prevotellaceae. The record is from RNAcentral.